RNAcentral lists this ribosomal RNA (253 nucleotides) under uncultured bacterium. Its description in RNAcentral is "partial 16S ribosomal RNA". It matches the Rfam family "Bacterial small subunit ribosomal RNA", at positions 524 to 776 of the family's 1533-position model. The record is from RNAcentral.
UACGAACUGUGCAAACGUUAUUCGGAAUCACUGGGCUUAAAGGGUGCGUAGGCGGCUGUCUAAGUAGGGUGUGAAAGCCCCCGGCUCAACCGGGGAAUUGCGCCCUAAACUGGAUGGCUAGAGUGAGGUAGGGGUGUGUGGAACUUCCGGUGGAGCGGUGAAAUGUGUUGAUAUCGGAAGGAACGCCGGUGGCGAAAGCGACACACUGGGUCUCAACUGACGCUGAGGCACGAAAGCCAGGGGAGCAAACGGG